UCGUCCCUUAAAGUUUAUACAAGCAAUAACUCUUGAAAGAGAGUGAUCAAACAAUUUCCAAUACAGUCUAUUUCAUAUGAGAAAUGGAAAUGAGGGAACUAUUCCCAAACGGGUCAAAAUAGGACCUAAGACUUUGAAUUGUAUGUUCAUUGGAUAUGCUACAAAUAGUAAAGCAUGUCGAUUUAUGGUUCAUAAGUCAGAACCGUCGGAUAGUCAAGUGAAGGGUCUAAAC
This 232-nucleotide long non-coding RNA is filed under the name Solanum tuberosum (potato). RNAcentral describes it as "long non-coding RNA (STUB_LNC008861)". Lineage: Eukaryota; Viridiplantae; Streptophyta; Magnoliopsida; Solanales; Solanaceae. The record is from RNAcentral.